GACGAGGGAUCCUAGCGUUGUUCGGAAUCAUUGGGCGUAAAGAGGGCGUAGGUGGCUUGGUAAGUCAGGUGUGAAAGCCCAGGGCUCAACCCUGGAAGUGCAUUUGAUACUGCUGAGCUUGAGUGUUGGAGAGGUUAUCGGAAUACCUGGUGUAGUGGUGAAAUACGUAGAUAUCAGGUGGAACACCGGAGGCGAAGGCGGGUAACUGGCCAAACACUGACACUGAGGCCCGAAAGCGUGGGGAUCAAACAGG
RNAcentral lists this ribosomal RNA (253 nucleotides) under uncultured bacterium. Its description in RNAcentral is "partial 16S ribosomal RNA". It matches the Rfam family "Bacterial small subunit ribosomal RNA", at positions 524 to 776 of the family's 1533-position model. The record is from RNAcentral.